RNAcentral lists this ribosomal RNA (492 nucleotides) under uncultured bacterium. RNAcentral's name for it is "partial 16S ribosomal RNA". It matches the Rfam family "Bacterial small subunit ribosomal RNA", at positions 29 to 507 of the family's 1533-position model. The record is from RNAcentral.
AGUGAACGCUGGCGGUAGGCCUAACACAUGCAAGUCGAACGGCAGCACAGUAAGAGCUUGCCCUUACGGGUGGCGAGUGGCGGACGGGUGAGGAAUACAUCGGAAUCUACUUUUUCGUGGGGGAUAACGUAGGGAAACUUACGCUAAUACCGCAUACGACCUACGGGUGAAAGCAGGGGAUCUUCGGACCUUGCGCGAUUGAAUGAGCCGAUGUCGGAUUAGCUAGUUGGCGGGGUAAAGGCCCACCAAGGCGACGAUCCGUAGCUGGUCUGAGAGGAUGAUCAGCCACACUGGAACUGAGACACGGUCCAGACUCCUACGGGAGGCAGCAGUGGGGAAUAUUGGACAAUGGGCGCAAGCCUGAUCCAGCCACACCGCGUGGGUGAAGAAGGCCUUCGGGUUGUAAAGCCCUUUUGUUGGGAAAGAAAAGCAGCAGGUUAAUACCCCGCUGUUCUGACGGUACCCAAAGAAUAAGCACCGGCUAACUUCGUG